Castor canadensis (American beaver) is the source of this 3770-nucleotide non-coding RNA. The record is from RefSeq and is a predicted model, not a curated record. NCBI's taxonomy places the organism in Eukaryota, Metazoa, Chordata, Mammalia, Rodentia, Castoridae.
GCAAGCUCAGGGCUCUGAGUUCAGUCUCCUGUACUGCAAAAAAAAAAAAAAAAAUAGAACUUUGCGUCUGGUUUUAUGUCUAACACAUAGUAGGCCUUAAUAGAUAAUUAUUUCGUGAAUGGGAUGGGUAUCCACUAAAAUAAGUAGCUACACCUUAAUGGAAAAAAGUCUAAUGAGACUCAAGUAAACUAUAUAAAAACAUCAGGUAUACCUAAUUCAGCCCUCUCCCUGUUGUGUGGAAAAGCUGCUACUUAAUGCAAAAAAGACUGACCUGAAGGCAAGCUGAAAAUGUGAUGUUGGUUCCUAUAUAUUGUCACUUGUGGAAAGAUUAUCUGGUAUCUGGUCACAAGGUCAGAGAUCGAACUGCUUUGGAGCUUCUGUAUCUUCUGUAGUUAGUCACUUAAUUUUUAGAUUUAUCACUAGGCUAUCGACCCUUCAUAUUUAUACUACAAAUUGUACUUGUUUGUUCCUAGAACCCUAACUAAACACUCACUAAAUAAAAAACUACUUCAAAAAUGACCCCACUGUACCUUAGGAAGCAAACAAGUUUUCAUGUGCUCACCUCAUCUACUCAACAGAAAGUUCUUAUUCACUCCUAGAGUCUGUCAUGAUAGCUGUUCAGGCCCAGGGUUCCAAAGUGGAUAAACUGUUCUAGUCUAGAUUUGACUUAAGCUCUGGAAUCUAUAGUAGGGUAUUGAGUAACAGAGGCCAGCAUUUGUUAUUAACAGCCUGACUAGUGUUCUUUAGUCCUGCAGUGAUUCCAGCAGUUUGAGUUUGAUAUUCCUCAUGUUUUUAAAGCAUUUGCAUAAUUCUUUCUGAAACUCCACCACCAAAUCACUUUCAGAAAUAGUAGAGUACCCAUUAGAGAUUCAUGUUCAAGAUUUGUUUUGCAGAUCAACGCAUUCACAUACAGUUUUCCUUUAAGUAUUUUAAAUUUUUAUGACAACCUUGUAAGAGUAGGUUUUGUUACCUUCAUUCAAAGAUGAAGAAAUAAAGACUGAGAAAGGUUAGAUAACUUGUCAGGAGAUCAAACCCAGAUAUUUUGGAUGCCUAACAAAUAGGAAUUAUUAUGUUUAGGCACUCGUACAUUUUUGUGUACCUAACUUAGUCUUAAAACAGGGCAAUAAAGAGGGUAUUUUUAGUCUGGUGUGGCACACACCUGUAAUCCUAGCACUUGCGAGGCAGAGGCAGGAGGAUCAUGAGUUCAAGGCUAGUCUAGGCUUCAUAGUAAGACCCAGUCUCAAAAAAUAAAUAAAAUAAAAAGAAUUUUUAUCUGAGUUUUACAGUUGAAGAGCCUGGGCACAAAGCAUGUAAGUUAUUUGCCUAUACUUAUCUGGAACCUGGGUUCCAGAGCCCAUCUAAUCUGAGAACCCAUGCUCUUAAGCCAUACUGCAUUGUUCUGCCUCCCACAUCCAACAUUUCUACUACACCAUGCUGCCUCUCUAGCUAUAUUGGAAGGGAGCAGGAGUAGAAGCCUUUUGGAGAAUGUGCCAGAAGGGGAAAAUGGCUCAAGACAGCCUUAAGGAGAGAAAAUGACAAGAAGUCUGAAAUAGGCAGCAGUUGUCCAGAGAAGUGGAAUGAUAGAACAUACAGUUCAUCAGGAGUCCAAGUGUUCUUACACCAACGUAUUCUAUUAAUUUAAAGCAAAUUUCUUUCUUGGGCUAGUGUGUGAUUCAAAUAGUGGAUUGGUUUUUGUUCAUUUGUUUUGGUUUUGUUUUUGUUUUUUUCCCACACUGCUGAGAAUUCAACCCAGGGCUUCAUGCAUGCUAGGCAAGCAUUCUACCUCUGGGCUAUAUAUAUCUCCAGUCCCUGAAAUAGUAUUUUAGCAUACCAUACUUCGGCUAACCUUUGUUGGUUGUUGACAUUCCUAUUCUGCAUUCAGCAGUGCCAAUUCAGUGCAUGAUUACUAAGCAGUGUUUUCCCAGAUGUGGUGGAACUUGGAAGGCUGAGGCAGAAGGAUCAUGAGUUCAAGGCCAGCCUCAACUACAUAGUGAGACCCUAUCUCAAAAGAAGAAAAAAAGACAAAAACAAAGCACUGUUUUGUUUGAGUUGUGUUGUUUAUUUUGUCUCUCUUGAUCACAAGCCAUUAACAAUUACUUCUUUAGAUUCGUUGUAUUCCCUUUUAGACUAUUUAGUAUUUUCUUCUGUUCAAUAAAUGUAUGUAAACCUCAGCAACAAGCAGUAGUUCUUGACAUUCCUUGGAGUUGAAUUGGAUGCCGUAUCCUGGACUAAGUCCUACUUCAUGCAAGUCAGCAAUAAUUGCCUGGAGCUUUUAGAUAGUAACCAUUUGCAGAUAACAAUACAAGAAACUCAAUCAUUGAGUUUUCUUUGCCAAACAUGUAAAGAACUGACUAAUCAUCUCUUAAACAGCUCCUGAGGACAUACAUGGAAUUAAUAGUAAUAUGAUGGAAAUUUCUCCACUCCAACACUUGUGCCAUAAUGUAGAGUUUAGGGGUUUAUCCUUUGUGUUGAAUGAGUUAAUAAAUAAAAGAUUGCUUCCCAGUAUAACAGGGAAGAAAUUUAUGGAUUAUUUCUUGUCUUGCAGUAGCACAUGCACAAUGGGCUUAGUCCUGCCUCUCUGGAGUGACACUCUAAUUCAUUUGGAUGGUGAUGGUGGUUUCAGCGUGUCAACAGAUAACAGAGUUCACAUAUUCAAACCUGUAUCUGUGCAGGCAAUGUGGUCUGCACUACAGAGCUUACAUAAGGCUUGUGAAGUGGCCAGAAUAAAUAACUACUACCCAGGCAGCCUGUUUCUCACCUGGGUGAGUUAUUAUGAGAGCCAUAUCAACUCAGAUCAAUCCUCAGUCAAUGAAUGGAAUGCUAUGCAAGAUGUGCAGUCCCAUCGGCCAGACUCUCCAGCUCUCUUCACAGACAUACCAACUGAACGUGAGCGAACAGAAAGGCUAAUUAAAACCAAAUUAAGGGAGAUUAUGAUGCAGAAGGAUUUGGAGAACAUCACUUCCAAAGAGAUUCGAACAGAGUUGGAAAUGCAGAUGGUAUGCAAUUUGCGGGAAUUCAAGGAAUUUAUAGAUAAUGAGAUGAUAGUGAUACUUGGUCAGAUGGAUAGUCCUACACAGAUAUUUGAGCAUGUGUUCCUGGUAAGUUUUAGAGCCAGUUUACGUGUUAUGUUGACACUACUCUGUAUGGAUUUGGGAGUUGGAGAUAAUUGUUAAAUUUUAUUAUAUUUAAAUAGGAUGUAAUUUACAUUAAAAACAAAGGUAAUAAGUACUCAAACCCCAUUACUUGCUAAUCAUUUUACUGCAUUUUAAUAUUAUUUGUGUUCUUAAGGUUAGUUACACAUAUUGUAUGGUAGAAAUGUUAUAUAAUGGUGUACUAUUGCUCAUCUCUUCCCAAUUCCUCAUUCAGUAACAGCAAGCUGGUAUAUUAAAAUUGACUAUGAUGGGAAUAUUUAUACCAAGGAAAUUAGCAAAUUUUUCUUUCCCCUUGGUUACUAAAUAUUUCACUUGCUUUCUAUAAUCUUCAAAGUCAAAAAUAUCAGUCUGUUGCAGUUUCAUGCAGUGUAUCUAAAUAGGAUGAUUUUUAAAAUCCUCCUUUCAAGUCUGUCAAAUGUGUCUAAGGUGUGAUAUAUAUUUGAGUAAGUAAGAACUACUUAUAACUGAGAGGCUAUUGGUUUGUGUUUUUUAUGGUGUUGAGGAUUGAACACAAGGCCUUGCACAUGCUAAGCACAUGUUCUACCACUGAGCUACAUCCCUAGGCCUAGACUUUUGUCUUUGCUUUUCUUUUUUCUUUUUUAAGCCUAGACUUCUAAA